UACGAAGGGGGCUAGCGUUGCUCGGAAUCACUGGGCGUAAAGCGCACGUAGGCGGAUUGCUAAGUCAGGGGUGAAAUCCUGGAGCUCAAUUCCAGAACUGCCUUUGAUACUGGCGAUCUUGAGUCCGGGAGAGGUGAGUGGAACUGCGAGUGUAGAGGUGAAAUUCGUAGAUAUUCGCAAGAACACCAGUGGCGAAGGCGGCUCACUGGCCCGGUACUGACGCUGAGGUGCGAAAGCGUGGGGAGCAAACGGG
RNAcentral lists this ribosomal RNA (253 nucleotides) under uncultured bacterium. RNAcentral describes it as "partial 16S ribosomal RNA". It matches the Rfam family "Bacterial small subunit ribosomal RNA", at positions 524 to 776 of the family's 1533-position model. The record is from RNAcentral.